ACGGGAGGCAGCAGUGGGGAAUAUUAGGCAAUGGGGGAAACCCUGACCUAGCAACGCCGCGUGAAGGAAGAAGGCCUUCGGGUUGUAAACUUCUUUUAUAGGGGACGAAACAAAUGACGGUACCCUAUGAAUAAGCCACGGCAAACUACGUGCCAGCAGCCGCGGUAAUACGUAGGUGGCAAGCGUCGUCCGGAUUUACUGGGUGUAAAGGGCGCGUAGGCGGGAUGACAAGCCAGAUGUGAAAGCCAUGGGCUCAACCCAUGAACUGCAUUUGGAACUGCCAUGCUUGAGUAUCGGAGAGGCAAGCGGAAUUCCUAGUGUAGCGGUGAAAUGCGUAGAUAUUAGGAGGAACACCAGUGGCGAAGGCGGCUUGCUGGACGAAAACUGACGCUGAGGCGCGAAAGCGUGGGGAGCAAACAGGAUUAGAUACCCUGGUA
This 437-nucleotide ribosomal RNA is filed under the name uncultured Oscillospiraceae bacterium. RNAcentral describes it as "partial 16S ribosomal RNA". It matches the Rfam family "Bacterial small subunit ribosomal RNA", at positions 341 to 792 of the family's 1533-position model. Lineage: Bacteria; Bacillati; Bacillota; Clostridia; Eubacteriales; Oscillospiraceae. The record is from RNAcentral.